RNAcentral lists this ribosomal RNA (374 nucleotides) under uncultured bacterium. RNAcentral's name for it is "bacterial SSU rRNA". It matches the Rfam family "Bacterial small subunit ribosomal RNA", at positions 524 to 898 of the family's 1533-position model. The record is from RNAcentral.
UACGUAGGGUGCGAGCGUUAAUCGGAAUUACUGGGCGUAAAGCGUGCGUAGGCGGUCCGUUGUGUCUGCGGUGAAAUCCCCGGGCUUAACCUGGGAAUGGCCGUGGAAACUGGCGGGCUUGAGUGUGGCAGAGGGGGGUGGAAUUCCGCGUGUAGCAGUGAAAUGCGUAGAGAUGCGGAGGAACACCGAUGGCGAAGGCAACCCCCUGGGCUGACACUGACGCUCAGGCACGAAAGCGUGGGGAGCAAACAGGAUUAGAUACCCUGGUAGUCCACGCCCUAAACGAUGAUCACUGGGUGUUGGGGAAGCGAUUUCUCAGUACCGUAGCUAACGCGUGAAGUGAUCCGCCUGGGGAGUACGGCCGCAAGGUUAAA